RNAcentral lists this ribosomal RNA (422 nucleotides) under uncultured bacterium. RNAcentral's name for it is "bacterial LSU rRNA". It matches the Rfam family "Bacterial large subunit ribosomal RNA", at positions 21 to 483 of the family's 2925-position model. The record is from RNAcentral.
GUGGUGAAUGCCUUGGCGAUUACAGGCGACGAAAGACGUGUAAGCCUGCGAAAAGCUACGGGGAGCUGGCAAUAGAGCAUUGAUCCGUAGAUAUCUGAAUGGGGAAACCCGGCCCGCAAGGGUCACUCCUGGCUGAAUAUAUAGGUCAGGUAGAGCGAACCCGGUGAACUGAAACAUCUAAGUAGCCGGAGGAAAAGAAAUCAACCGAGAUUCCGAAAGUAGUGGCGAGCGAAAUUGGAACAGCCUUCAAUCUUUAGCUUCUGAAUUAGCGGAACAGUCUGGAAAGUCUGACCGCAGUGGGUGAUAGUCCCGUACGCGAAAAUUCAGGAGUGGAACUAGGGUUGAAACAAGUAGGGCGGGACACGAGAAAUCCUGUCUGAACAUGGGGGGACCAUCCUCCAAGGCUAAAUACUCGUAAUCGU